This 23-nucleotide non-coding RNA is filed under the name Arabidopsis thaliana (thale cress). Lineage: Eukaryota; Viridiplantae; Streptophyta; Magnoliopsida; Brassicales; Brassicaceae. The record is from RNAcentral.
CUAGAUUUUAACCUGCGGUACAC